CUUCUCUCCAGCCACCAGGCAAGUUUGUGCUGGGAAUCACAAACCAGAGGAUGCAGGAUCCUUUGGCAGCAUGGGCUUGAACCCAGCAAUCACCCCAUUUUUCCUCCUGAUCAAUGUCCUGGUGGUCCUCCUUCUAGCAGCAUGGCCAGACCUCACACAAACCUGGUGAUAAGCAGUGAAGGGUCAGGACCGUACCCUGUGCAUGUCCAUUGCCCAAGCCCUCACUGCCUUUGGCUGUGAUCGGUGCUAGAUGCUCCCAGCAAUGGCAGAAACAAGGAGCCCACAUUCUCCUCCAGAGUGAGACUUGUUCCACUUGUGCUUUGCACAAAUCUCUGGCAGACUUGGCAAAAAAGCACAAGCAAAACAAGUAAGUACAUCCUGGGUAAGUCCCAUAUCUCUCUUCUGCAGGGCUACAAGUUUGCUCCUUUGUGGGAGAAGGUCAAGCCUGCCAAUUCGCCCAACUAAAACACAAGGCGUUGCCCCCACAGAGCAUGCAGAAGUCCCUUGACACUGAAUCAUCUUGUUGUUUCCGAAACCAAGCUGUGGGGUGGUGGCAGGGGAGGAGCUGGAUGCAAAAAUGUGGCCUUUCUUGAUCAACUCUCCUGCUGUCCAAGUUGCCUGUCCCAUCUCUGUCAGACAGGCCAUUUGGUUUUGCUGGCUCUCCAGCGCUGCCAGGAGUCCUUGGCCAGCCAUGGGACUCCUCAGGGCCACAGCUCCCCUCCUCAGCUGCAGGCCUGCAGUGCCUGCAUCUCGCAGUCCAGCUUCUCUUUCCCUUUGGCUCUGGGCUGUAACCCAGACUGCACCCCUACUGUGUAGCUUUAAACCCAGCUGCUUUCCUGGCUGAUGGAGAACUCACCUUAACCCACUUGGUACUCUGGGGUGUACUGAAUGCCCCAGGGCUCUCACUUGCUGAUGGAACUGCUGGGAGGGGGCUCCGCUCCAAAACUGCCUUGCAGCUUGCAGAGAGCCAGCUCUCCUGUUCAUGAGAGGCUGGAGAGAUCCUCUUCUUUGAGCUUUACCUCAAAAAGGAAAGUCCCCACUGAGCCUUGUCUGCAGGAGGUUGCUUUGACUAAGGAAAAGGAUCCUUUGUCAUUUGAGUAGGGGCUUAUAAAUAGACCAGGGCUGGUUGUGAAACAGCCCACUCUGCUUGAGUCACUUGGUAAAUACUGAUUGUAACACAGUGGUUGUGUAAGGCACCUCUGAGUGUCAUGGAGUGUGCUGAUAGACAGCAUCAUCCACCACCCUGAAUGGGCUGGGGACUGAUCAUCUUUAACUCCAGGUGCUGCAAGCUGAGCUGGCCUUGUCUGCAAAGUGGUGUGGCAACAGCUGCCUGGGCUUUCCUGGCAUCAGCUCAGCUCAGAGGUGGCCAGAUAGGAAGGGGCAGACAAAGUUCAGUCCGUUGUGCAUGUAAGCAGGUGGGGGCCAGAUGAAUGUUGCUCACCCGGCCACUUUGGGGCUACCUUGGGCGUUUGGAAACCUUUGGAAAUGGUGCAGGGGGAGAAGAUGUCCUGGACUUGAGGUGCUGCUCUCCAGCACUGUGACUGCCAAGUUUCCAUGAGGUCAAAGUGAAGAGGAGGCGAGGCCAGGCUCAGGCCACAAGUCCUUCCUCUCCUCAGCACUGCAUUGAGCUACCCAUCCUUCUCCUAGAAAGCCCAGUCACCACAGGGCUCUCAUCACCUCUGGAUCAUACAUCUAGCCUGGGCCACCAGCAGCAACAUGUCCUGGUGGUUUCUAAAUAAUUAUUUGCAGCCUGCUGCAUUAAUGUACAUUAACGCGUGUGCAUUGAUUUGCAUAGGGAACACGUGCUUCAACUUUCAUGUUUCAUCUUCACAGCUGUUUCUAUUUCUGAUAAUCUCCAGGUUCCUGAGGCGUUUCCCCGUAGGACACAGUAUCUUCUACCUGCUGGCAGCUCAGGGUGCCCCAGCACGCAGGAUGUGAUGCCUGAUGGUUUUGUCUCCCCUCUACCUUUGUUCCGGAAGGGGAACAGUUCCUGCUUCUCAAGGCUGUGAGAUGGCUUUCAGAAGAAGGUCACAACCCUGGGGGUCCUAGAGGGCUCUGCAGGUCUCCACA
Long non-coding RNA from Columba livia (rock pigeon), 2070 nucleotides. RefSeq lists it as uncharacterized. The transcript is spliced from 2 exons. The record is from RefSeq and is a predicted model, not a curated record. NCBI's taxonomy places the organism in Eukaryota, Metazoa, Chordata, Aves, Columbiformes, Columbidae.